RNAcentral lists this ribosomal RNA (253 nucleotides) under uncultured bacterium. RNAcentral's name for it is "partial 16S ribosomal RNA". It matches the Rfam family "Archaeal small subunit ribosomal RNA", at positions 474 to 727 of the family's 1478-position model. The record is from RNAcentral.
UACCAGCUCCUCGAGUGGUCGGGGCGAUUAUUGGGCCUAAAGCAUCCGUAGCCGGUUCUGUAGGUCUUCUGCAAAAUCCAGUCGCUCAACGAUUGGCUCGCAGGAGAUACCGCAGGACUAGGAGGCGGGAGAGGUGGACGGUACUCCACGUGUAGGGGUAAAAUCCUUUGAUCCGUGGAAGACCACCAGUGGCGAAGGCGGUCCACCAGAACGCGCUCGACGGUGAGGGAUGAAAGCUGGGGGAGCGAACCGG